UCCUCCCAGUGACCCUUUUGUUUUCCAAGC
This 30-nucleotide non-coding RNA is filed under the name Mus musculus (house mouse). The record is from RNAcentral. Lineage: Eukaryota; Metazoa; Chordata; Mammalia; Rodentia; Muridae.